This 586-nucleotide long non-coding RNA is filed under the name Mytilus galloprovincialis (Mediterranean mussel). The record is from RNAcentral. Lineage: Eukaryota; Metazoa; Mollusca; Bivalvia; Mytilida; Mytilidae.
AAAGGGAAACUUCGCAAAAAAAUCAAAAAUUCAUAUUAUGUCCAUUCUGUAUAAAAAUGAUCAAAUUUAUAAAUAUUAAAGUUUUAUUCCGCUAGAUAAGAGAUCACCAUCGAUUUUAAAUUUUGAGUAUCAGUUCUUUGCGUUCCGCCAUUUUGUUAUCUUGUCCAAAUAAAAAUCACGAUAUGUCUAUAAACCAUAAAGAAACAAAACUACAGUAACCGAUGUUGUCGUAAUUACGUGUCGAUAUCUUGUCAAUCGUACGGUUGUUUUAUCUGACUAACUAACUUGAUUCGGAAAAUGUUCUUAUAUUUUUAAUAACCAUAUAGUCUGUUAUUUUUAAACUGUUAAUAUUGGAAUUAGUUAAAAAGUCAAAGUUCAAAUCAUAAAUAAGAGUUCCGUAAAAAAUUGUUUUCGAAAAUCUAAUUCGUUCAUAAUUCUUUAAAGUAAUAUACUUUAUUCAAAUAAAUUAGGAUCUUCGCUCCACUGAUCACCCGCAUGGCUUAAGGUAUUACUCCCAAAGGUAUUGUGAGGGGUGUAAGGUGACACGACCAGGUAUUCAAGCGAUUUCCUGUCGGGCCUGCAAGUU